Molecule: ribosomal RNA, 483 nt
Filed under: uncultured bacterium
Lineage: Bacteria
Description: partial 16S ribosomal RNA
Rfam family: Bacterial small subunit ribosomal RNA
Source: RNAcentral
AUUGAACGCUAGCGGGAUGCUUUACACAUGCAAGUCGAACGGCAGCGCGGACUUCGGUCUGGCGGCGAGUGGCGAACGGGUGAGUAAUGUAUCGGAACGUGCCCAGUAGCGGGGGAUAACUACGCGAAAGCGUAGCUAAUACCGCAUACGCCCUACGGGGGAAAGCAGGGGAUCGUAAGACCUUGCACUAUUGGAGCGGCCGAUAUCGGAUUAGCUAGUUGGUGAGGUAACGGCUCACCAAGGCGACGAUCCGUAGCUGGUUUGAGAGGACGACCAGCCACACUGGAACUGAGCCACGGCCCAGACUCCUACGGGAGGCAGCAGUGGGGAAUUUUGGACAAUGGGGCAACCCUGAUCCAGCCAUCCCGCGUGUGCGAUGAAGGCCUUCGGGUUGUAAAGCACUUUUGGCAGGAAAGAAACGUCGCGGGCUAAUACCCCGUGGAACUGACGGUACCUGCAGAAUAAGCACCGGCUAACUACGUG